UCUUUGACGUUAGCGGCGGACGGGUGAGUAACACGUGGAUAACCUACCUAUAAGACUGGGAUAACUUCGGGAAACCGGAGCUAAUACCGGAUAACAUAUUGAACCGCAUGGUUCAAUAGUGAAAGGCGGCUUUGCUGUCACUUAUAGAUGGAUCCGCGCCGUAUUAGCUAGUUGGUAAGGUGACGGCUUACCAAGGCAACGAUACGUAGCCGACCUGAGAGGGUGAUCGGCCACACUGGAACUGAGACACGGUCCAGACUCCUACGGGAGGCAGCAGUAGGGAAUCUUCCGCAAUGGGCGAAAGCCUGACGGAGCAACGCCGCGUGAGUGAUGAAGGUCUUCGGAUCGUAAAACUCUGUUAUCAGGGAAGAACAAAUGUGUAAGUAACUGUGCACAUCUUGACGGUACCUGAUCAGAAAGCCACGGCUAACUACGUGCCAGCAGCCGCGGUAAUACGUAGGUGGCAAGCGUUAUCCGGAAUUAUUGGGCGUAAAGCGCGCGUAGGCGGUUUUUUAAGUCUGAUGUGAAAGCCCACGGCUCAACCGUGGAGGGUCAUUGGAAACUGGAAAACUUGAGUGCAGAAGAGGAAAGUGGAAUUCCAUGUGUAGCGGUGAAAUGCGCAGAGAUAUGGAGGAACACCAGUGGCGAAGGCGACUUUCUGGUCUGUAACUGACGCUGAUGUGCGAAAGCGUGGGGAUCAAACAGGAUUAGAUACCCUGGUAGUCCAC
RNAcentral lists this ribosomal RNA (728 nucleotides) under Staphylococcus sp. AmSamDD75. Its description in RNAcentral is "bacterial SSU rRNA". It matches the Rfam family "Bacterial small subunit ribosomal RNA", at positions 83 to 798 of the family's 1533-position model. Lineage: Bacteria; Bacillati; Bacillota; Bacilli; Caryophanales; Staphylococcaceae. The record is from RNAcentral.